Molecule: long non-coding RNA, 557 nt
Filed under: Manihot esculenta (cassava)
Lineage: Eukaryota; Viridiplantae; Streptophyta; Magnoliopsida; Malpighiales; Euphorbiaceae
Description: long non-coding RNA (MESC_LNC006569)
Source: RNAcentral
UGGUAAUACUUACACUCAAGAUGUGGAGGCGAUACCUGCAUAAGGUAUGAGGACAGAUCCUUACAGAUCGAAAGAGCUUGCAAUACAUCUUGAGUCAAGAGAGGAGAAUCAGAGGCAGAGAAAAGGAGUAAGAGCUGCAUAGUCAGAAAAAAGAGGAAUCAGAACUGCUGUGAGUCAGCAGGAGAGUAUGGAGCCGUCUGCAAGAGGCAUGUAGAGUUUCAGAAGAGAAGAAGAGCUUUUGUCAGAGUGCGCGGCGGAAGCGUGUUUAGGUUCUCGAGGAAGUCGAGGUUUGCUGGAGGUGUCUCCUAAAGAGAGGGUGAUUCGUUAUGGGCGGAAAGGUAAAUUAGCUCUCAGAUACAUUAGACCCUUUGAAAUCCCGCAAAGGAUUUGGGAAUGUAUCCCACGAGUUAGGUUUACCCACUUCAAUGGAAGAGAUCCAUUCGUUUUUCCAUGUUUCCACGAUACAUGAGUUCGUGUCGGGUCUGAGUGAGGUUCUUAAAGGAACCAGAGGUGGAGACCGUAGAGGAUCUCACCUAUGUUGAGCAGCUAGUACGGAC